GUGGGGAAUCUUAGACAAUGGGGGAAACCCUGAUCUAGCCAUGCCGCGUGAGCGAUGAAGGCCUUAGGGUUGUAAAGCUCUUUCAGCUGGGAAGAUAAUGACGGUACCAGCAGAAGAAGCCCCGGCUAACUCCGUGCCAGCAGCCGCGGUAAUACGGAGGGGGCUAGCGUUGUUCGGAAUUACUGGGCGUAAAGCGCACGUAGGCGGAUAUUUAAGUCGGGGGUGAAAUCCCGGGGCGCAACCCCGGAACUGCCUUCGAUACUGGAUGUCAUGAGGUCGAGAGAGGUGAGUGGAAUUCCGAGUGUAGAGGUGAAAUUCGUAGAUAUUCGGAGGAACACCAGUGGCGAAGGCGGCUCACUGGCUCGAUAAUGACGCUGAGGUGCGAAAGCGUGGGGAGCAAACAGGAUUAGAAACCCGAGUAGUCC
RNAcentral lists this ribosomal RNA (425 nucleotides) under uncultured bacterium. Its description in RNAcentral is "partial 16S ribosomal RNA". It matches the Rfam family "Bacterial small subunit ribosomal RNA", at positions 354 to 796 of the family's 1533-position model. The record is from RNAcentral.